AGUGAACGCUGGCGGUAGGCCUAACACAUGCAAGUCGAACGGCAGCACAGUAAGAGCUUGCUCUUACGGGUGGCGAGUGGCGGACGGGUGAGGAAUACAUCGGAAUCUACUUUUUCGUGGGGGAUAACGUAGGGAAACUUACGCUAAUACCGCAUACGACCUACGGGUGAAAGCAGUGGAUCUUCGGACCUUGCGCGAUUGAAUGAGCCGAUGUCGGAUUAGCUAGUUGGCGGGGUAAAGGCCCACCAAGGCGACGAUCCGUAGCUGGUCUGAGAGGAUGAUCAGCCACACUGGAACUGAGACACGGUCCAGACUCCUACGGGAGGCAGCAGUGGGGAAUAUUGGGCAAUGGGCGCAAGCCUGAUCCAGCCAUACCGCGUGGGUGAAGAAGGCCUUCGGGUUGUAAAGCCCUUUUGUUGGGGAAGAAAAGCAGCAGAUUAAUACCCCGCUGUUCUGACGGUACCCAAAGAAUAAGCACCGGCUAACUUCGUG
RNAcentral lists this ribosomal RNA (492 nucleotides) under uncultured bacterium. RNAcentral describes it as "partial 16S ribosomal RNA". It matches the Rfam family "Bacterial small subunit ribosomal RNA", at positions 29 to 507 of the family's 1533-position model. The record is from RNAcentral.